This 491-nucleotide ribosomal RNA is filed under the name uncultured bacterium. RNAcentral's name for it is "bacterial SSU rRNA". It matches the Rfam family "Bacterial small subunit ribosomal RNA", at positions 28 to 507 of the family's 1533-position model. The record is from RNAcentral.
GAUGAACGCUAGCGGCAGGCCUAACACAUGCAAGUCGAGGGGCAGCGGGAAAGUAGCUUGCUACUUUUGCCGGCGACCGGCGCACGGGUGCGUAACGCGUAUGUAACCUACCUUAAACAGGGGCAUAACACUGAGAAAUUGGUACUAAUUCCCCAUAAUACUUUAGGAGGCAUCUUCUGAAGUUGAAAGUUCCGGCGGUUUAAGAUGGACAUGCGUUGUAUUAGUUAGUUGGUGAGGUAACGGCUCACCAAGACGACGAUACAUAGGGGGACUGAGAGGUUAACCCCCCACAUUGGUACUGAGACACGGACCAAACUCCUACGGGAGGCAGCAGUGAGGAAUAUUGGGUCAAUGGACGCAAGUCUGAACCAGCCAUGCCGCGUGCAGGAUGACGGCUCUAUGAGUUGUAAACUGCUUUUGUAUGAGGGUAAAUGUAGGUACGUGUACCUAUUUGAAAGUAUCAUACGAAUAAGGAUCGGCUAAACUCCGUG